GAUGAACGCUAGCUACAGGCUUAACACAUGCAAGUCGAGGGGAAACGAUGAGAGAGCCUGCUCUCUUAGGCGUCGACCGGCGCACGGGUGAGUAACGCGUAUCCAACCUACCCAUUACAGGGGGAUAACCUUGCGAAAGUAAGACUAAUACCCCAUGGCAUUUUAUGGUGGCAUCAUUAUAGGAUUAAAGAUUUAUUGGUAAUGGAUGGGGAUGCGUCUGAUUAGCUUGUUGGCGGGGUAACGGCCCACCAAGGCAACGAUCAGUAGGGGUUCUGAGAGGAAGGUCCCCCACAUUGGAACUGAGACACGGUCCAAACUCCUACGGGAGGCAGCAGUGAGGAAUAUUGGUCAAUGGGCGAGAGCUUGAACCAGCCAAGUAGCGUGCAGGAUGACGGCCCUAUGGGUUGUAAACUGCUUUUAUAGGGGAAUAAAGUGAGCUACGUGUAGUUUAUUGCAUGUACCCUAUGAAUAAGGACCGGCUAAUUCCGUG
Molecule: ribosomal RNA, 490 nt
Filed under: uncultured bacterium
Lineage: Bacteria
Description: partial 16S ribosomal RNA
Rfam family: Bacterial small subunit ribosomal RNA
Source: RNAcentral